GCAAAAGCUAUGAAAGGAAGAAGUAGGUCAGUUUUACGUCAUUCAGAGAGCAUCCGGUUGGUGAGAGGCUGCAGACGCGCUGAUACGAAUACAUCCUGGAGCCGCUGCCUGAAUUGUUAGUAGGGUUUGACGGGUACGCCCGAUACAGCGUGUGAGUGUGUUUGCACUUGUUGAGGGGAAUUCUGCGAGGAAUUUCCAAGUCAGAGGUGGUACCGCAAUUUCUGCCCUCUGU
Molecule: non-coding RNA, 232 nt
Filed under: Desulfoscipio gibsoniae
Lineage: Bacteria; Bacillati; Bacillota; Clostridia; Eubacteriales; Desulfallaceae
Description: Desulfotomaculum gibsoniae T-box sequence
Rfam family: T-box leader
About the family: Uncharged tRNA acts as the effector for transcription antitermination of genes in the T-box leader family. T-boxes are found upstream of many aminoacyl-tRNA synthetase genes and some amino acid biosynthetic genes usually in Gram-positive bacteria. The anticodon of a specific tRNA base pairs to a specifier sequence within the T-box motif, and the NCCA acceptor tail of the tRNA base pairs to a conserved bulge in the T-box antiterminator hairpin.
Source: RNAcentral